This 468-nucleotide ribosomal RNA is filed under the name uncultured bacterium. RNAcentral describes it as "partial 16S ribosomal RNA". It matches the Rfam family "Bacterial small subunit ribosomal RNA", at positions 28 to 507 of the family's 1533-position model. The record is from RNAcentral.
GACGAACGCUGGCGGCGUGCUUAACACAUGCAAGUCGAACGGAAAGUCCCUGCUUUUGUGGGGUGCUCGAGUGGCGAACGGGUGAGUAACACGUGAGUAACCUGCCCUUGACUUUGGGAUAACUUCAGGAAACUUGGUCUAAUACCUGAUAGGAGCUCCUGCUGCAUGGUGGGGGUUGGAAAGUUUCGGCGGUUGGGGAUGGACUCGCGGCUUAUCAGCUUGUUUGUGGGGUAGUGGCUUACCAAGGCUUUGACGGGUAGCCGACCUGAGAGGGUGACCGGCCACAUUGGGACUGAGAUACGGCCCAGACUACUACGGGAGGCAGCAGUGGGGAAGAGUGCACAAUGGGCGGAAGCCUGAUGCAGCAAAGCCGCGUGCGGGAUGACGGCAUUCGGGUUGUAAACCGAUUUCGACUGUGACGAAGCGUGAGUGACGGUAAUGGGUAAAGAAGCACCGGCUAACUACGUG